RNAcentral lists this ribosomal RNA (501 nucleotides) under uncultured bacterium. Its description in RNAcentral is "partial 16S ribosomal RNA". It matches the Rfam family "Bacterial small subunit ribosomal RNA", at positions 30 to 523 of the family's 1533-position model. The record is from RNAcentral.
AUUGAACGCUGGCGGCAGGCUUAACACAUGCAAGUCGAGCGGGGGAAGGUAGCUUGCUACCGGACCUAGCGGCGGACGGGGGAGUAAUGCUUAGGAAUCUGCCUAUUAGUGGGGGACAACAUCUCGAAAGGGAUGCUAAUACCGCAUACGUCCUACGGGAGAAAGCAGGGGAUCUUCGGACCUUGCGCUAAUAGAUGAGCCUAAGUCGGAUUAGCUAGUUGGUGGGGUAAAGGCCUACCAAGGCGACGAUCUGUAGCGGGUCUGAGAGGAUGAUCCGCCACCCUGGGGAUGGGACACGGCGCAGACUCCUACGGGAGGCAGCAGUGGGGAAUAUUGGACAAUGGGGGGAACCCUGAUCCGGCCAUGCCGCGUGUGUGAAGAAGGCCUUAUGGUUGUAAAGUACUUUAAGCGAGGAGGAGGCUACUCUAGUUAAUACCUAGGGAUAGUGGACGUUACUCGCAGAAUAAGCACCGGUUAACUCUGUGCCAGCCGCCGCGGUAA